CUGCUGGCAGAGGCUGGCUUCAGUGUGACUUGUGCAACAUGAGACGCUUCUAGAAGAUGGGAGGAAAACAUGAUACAAGGGUAUAAGGAAAUUCACUCAGUACUGCAGAGACAGCAUGGAAGACAAAGACUCAGUCUCUGUGUUUCUGAAAGGUCUUCUCGAACCAUAUCCACCCACUUCUCAAUUUCUACCACAAAAGUAGAAAACAUAACCUUGAUUUUCACUUUCUGUCCUGUAACUAUAAAAGGUUUCAAAGUCAUCUGUAGAAGGUAAUUUGGGUCCUCACUUCCAUAUUCUCUGACUUCCUCUAAUAGAAAGUAGGAGAAUGUGGCAGUACUGUAUAUUACAAUGUUAGGACUACUUAACAUAACGCUGCUUUAAAAGACCAGAAUUUGAGAUGGGUGAAAGGGCAGGGGCAAGUUUGAUUAUUCCUAACAUCUACGAGGAAGCCUCUGUCUUCCCCAUAGGAAGCUGUCCUUUCUUCUCUAUUAGUUAUAUAGGAAUAAGAAUCUAGAGGAAGCUUUAAACAUUCAUAUUGGAGUUAAGAAUUAAAGACACUGAGAUGAUUAGUGUGUGGAUAACCUGAAAUACUUUAUGGCUCAUUCACCAUUUCAACAUCAACAAGAGGAGAACAACACAAAUACGGCAAACUGUCUAGCUGCUCAAGAAAAUGGUGCCCCCUUCCUCCCAGGCACACAGCUGGACACAUUUCCCAAAAUCUCUCUAGGUGGGCCAUGUGACGGAGUUCUGUCCAAAGGAACAUGGGCGGAAGAGAUAUGCACCACUUCCAGGCCUGACCCAGAAACAUUUUCCACGCAGACUUUUCCUUCUUUUCCUAUGUGCUCUUUCAACAAAGAGGGCUCUAUGGACUGAGAGAAAGGCAGAGCCCCAAGAGGAAGGAGCCUGGGUCACAGAAAGACUAGGUGGAAAGCUGUCCACUGACCACAAACAUCCACAUGGGACAUUAUAUGAGAGAGAAAUAAACCUGGGAAUAGUUACUUAACUUCUUUGGGUCCUAGUCUCUGGGCAAAGAGGAAAAGCUCAAUAAAUAUCAGCUGACAUUAUAUUAGGAAAUAAAGUUUACUUCCCCUUAAUUUCUUUUUCUUAGGCAAGGCGGAGCACCGGGGGCGAGUGGGAUUGGUGAAAAGCACUAAAUGACAUUUGCCUAUUACAAAAUGCUAAUUGGUACAUUUAAAUAAGAUGACAUU
This 1208-nucleotide long non-coding RNA is filed under the name Pan troglodytes (chimpanzee). RNAcentral describes it as "long non-coding RNA NONPTRT003221". Lineage: Eukaryota; Metazoa; Chordata; Mammalia; Primates; Hominidae. The record is from RNAcentral.